Molecule: non-coding RNA, 193 nt
Organism: Salmo salar (Atlantic salmon)
Lineage: Eukaryota; Metazoa; Chordata; Actinopteri; Salmoniformes; Salmonidae
Source: Rfam
UUGGCUUCUCUGCCUUUUGGCUAAGAUCAAGUGUAGUAUCUCUUUAAAAAUCUGUUUCUGACAUUUUAAUAUCUGAAAGGUCCCCUAUCUGGGGACCAUAUAUGAAAUUAUUUUUUGGAACGGCGAGAUGGAAUAGGGGCUUGAACUUGUAUUGUGAUUGUAUUGCAGUAUCUCCAGGAAGGAUGCACCUCUC